Molecule: ribosomal RNA, 144 nt
Filed under: Citrobacter braakii
Lineage: Bacteria; Pseudomonadati; Pseudomonadota; Gammaproteobacteria; Enterobacterales; Enterobacteriaceae
Description: partial 16S ribosomal RNA
Rfam family: Bacterial small subunit ribosomal RNA
Source: RNAcentral
AAAUUGAAGAGUUUGAUCAUGGCUCAGAUUGAACGCUGGCGGCAGGCCUAACACAUGCAAGUCGAACGGUAGCACAGAGGAGCUUGCUCCUUGGGUGACGAGUGGCGGACGGGUGAGUAAUGUCUGGGAAACUGCCCGAUGGAG